CUCUGAAGAGACUGAGGGACUCGGCCAAUGCCAAUGAUGUGGAAACAGCAGCUGCUGGAAGAUGGCGCGGAUCCCUGUGCAGCUGAUGACAAGGGCCGCACAGCUCUACACUUUGCCUCGUGCAAUGGCAAUGACCAGAUUGUGCAGCUGCUCCUGGACCAUGGUGCUGAUCCUAACCAGCGAGAUGGGCUGGGGAACACGCCACUGCACCUGGCGGCCUGCACCAACCACGUUCCUGUCAUCACCACACUGCUACGAGGAGGUAUGUGGUUUCUUCCCCUCUCUGUCCUCUUUCUCCCCCUCACCCCCAGAAUGCUCACCUCAGCUGGUACCUGCAGGGGCCCGUGUGGAUGCCCUGGACCGAGCUGGUCGCACACCCCUGCACCUGGCCAAGUCAAAGCUGAACAUCCUGCAGGAGGGCCAUGCCCAGUGCCUAGAGGCUGUGCGUCUGGAGGUGAAGCAGAUCAUCCAUAUGCUGAGGGAGUAUCUGGAGCGCCUAGGGCAACAUGAGCAGCGAGAACGCCUGGAUGAC
Molecule: small RNA, 532 nt
Filed under: Pan troglodytes (chimpanzee)
Lineage: Eukaryota; Metazoa; Chordata; Mammalia; Primates; Hominidae
Description: processed transcript
Source: RNAcentral